UGCCCAGCAACUCCUAUCCCUACCUCCUCGUGGUACUGGCCGGGGUACGAGUAACCUUGGGGAAGAUCGGGUAACCAACCCCCGGUGGGAACUUGGGUCGUAUGCUGACAGGGAAGG
Aedes aegypti (yellow fever mosquito) is the source of this 117-nucleotide non-coding RNA. The record is from Rfam. Lineage: Eukaryota; Metazoa; Arthropoda; Insecta; Diptera; Culicidae.